GAACUGAGAAACUGAUGUGACUCCAUUUUUGAGAAACCAGCUUCUACCUCAAGGCCUGUCCUAAGGAAGGGGGCUUGACCCUAGUCCUUGGAAAAAUCCACAGAGCACUCCUAAGCACAUACCCACACUGCUGAGUUGUUUGUCUGUAAAUAACAGGAGAGAUCUGUGGCGCCAGGUGUCCCUGACUCAGUUAGGCUACAUGAGGACCCAUAGCAGCCCCCUAAUGACUUCCAAUCAGCAUGAGACAGGGAAAAUACCCAGGAUGCCAGAUGACCCCCCAGUAGUUCAUGGUGGUUGAUAACGUGUUGGGAAACCAUGUAGUUUAGAAUGUACACCCCUCGUGGUUCAAACCAAUCAGUUCAAAGCAAUCCUUCUCUUGUACUAACGAAUCACCCCUACCCAACUUGUUCCCGCCAGUGAAUGUGCUAAUCAAUGUUAAGAGUCAUUGUUUGAUUUUCCCGCGGUAUGGAAUGAUUUGCUGUGUGAUGUUGUGACGCAUAGAGUAUCCCCCCCCAAAACCUAUAAAAUCUCACUAAACAAAGGACCAG
This 548-nucleotide long non-coding RNA is filed under the name Marmota monax (woodchuck). The record is from RNAcentral. Lineage: Eukaryota; Metazoa; Chordata; Mammalia; Rodentia; Sciuridae.